This 341-nucleotide long non-coding RNA is filed under the name Fukomys damarensis (Damara mole-rat). RNAcentral's name for it is "lncRNA (ENSFDAG00000029242.1)". Lineage: Eukaryota; Metazoa; Chordata; Mammalia; Rodentia; Bathyergidae. The record is from RNAcentral.
GAUGUCUGAAGUGAAUGCUGUUAUCAUAGUCAGUGGGCAGUGAACAGUGCUCUUCCUAUUGGACAUGUGAUCACUUUGGCUUCAGCCACUGAUAUCCUCCAGUACCCUGUCUGCAUUCUAGGCAUCUGCAAUUUCUGUAGACCUUUCUCUGACCAUGUCUGAGGGCCUGUGCCCAUUAACCAGAAGUACUGAUGGUGCUGAAGGAGUUUCAGCUCACAAACGCCAUAACACAGCUCCACCUCUGCCAUCUACUGCUCAGGGGUUGCUCAAGCAAACAGGGCAACAGGUGUCCAAGGUGGGUACCAAGAGCAAGAAAGGGAAGGGAAUAAAGUUAGCACUAU